UAUAAAGACCAGAGAUGAAUUGCAAGGAGAAUAAAAAUUCCAGAAAAGAAGGAAAGCAGGAAAAGGAUGGGGGGACAUGCUGCACUGCCUGAAAAAGACUCUGAUUCUUCUGUUGCACAGUGUAGGAUUUGCCAUGAAGAGGAAGACAAUGAGCUUAAAGACAUGGGGAGUCCUUGUGCUUGUUCAGGCACACUUAAGUAUGCUCAUAGGAAAUGUAUACAGAGAUGGUGCAAUGAAAAAGGGGAUACUAUUUGUGAGAUUUGCCUCCAGAAAUUUGAACCUGGGUUUACUGUAUCUGCUCAAACAGCUAAUAUUGAACAAAUGCCUCCACUUAUCAGAGGAGAACUUCACACUUCCAGCGAGAAUCAGGAGAUUCGGAGUCCAGGCUUGGCUGUGCCUGUAACAGUGGCAGUAGAUGGCGGUUCUCCUGUUCCUAACUUCAGGGGAUGCUCUUUCUCCACCUGCUGUCGAUUGGUGGCACUAAUGUGUUUUAUUCAUGUGGUUGUGGCUUCCGCCUGGCAGUUCACUGCUCUCCUGCUAAUACUUCAUGCUCUUAAUCUACUGCGGAAUGGAGGAGCGCAGUAUGCUCUUACACUCUUCACUCUUUUCCUUCUAAGGGCUGGGGGGUAUUGUUGCCCUUCUACAUAAUGGUUCAUGCAGUCGCUGUGAUUCAACGUCGACAACAGGCACGCGAGCAGGAUUAUGAUGGUGAUCUGCAAAAUCACAGAUACCUGGAUGAAGAUGUUCAGGAGCUCUAUCUCAGAGUCUAGUGCUCUUAACAUGUGCAAAACAAAAGAUUUAUAGCGGCUGUUAAGAUGCCGUAGCACCAAUAGUGAAAACAAAAGAUUUAUAGCUGGAGAACAGAACACACGGAAAGAGGGCAAAGAAAAACGCAGAAGCCGUUUUGGUUCGAUGGUAUCCCAUUUUAAUGGCUAUUAUGCACGAUCUCACCCUUGUAUAUGAUAGAAACUGCAUUUUUACUACAUACAUUCUGAGAAUUUUGUAUUAUUUUCCCAUUAUGAACAGCAACGUGACGUAUUCAAGGAA
This is an RNA transcript of Nymphaea colorata (pocket water lily), 1047 nucleotides long. RefSeq lists it as uncharacterized. NCBI's taxonomy places the organism in Eukaryota, Viridiplantae, Streptophyta, Magnoliopsida, Nymphaeales, Nymphaeaceae. The record is from RefSeq and is a predicted model, not a curated record. The transcript is spliced from 7 exons.